RNAcentral lists this ribosomal RNA (387 nucleotides) under uncultured bacterium. RNAcentral describes it as "bacterial SSU rRNA". It matches the Rfam family "Bacterial small subunit ribosomal RNA", at positions 32 to 402 of the family's 1533-position model. The record is from RNAcentral.
AAUCAACGCUGGCGGCGUGCCUAACACAUGCAAGUCGAACGCGAAAGCCCCUUCGGGGGUAAGUAGAGUGGCGUCCGGGUGAGUAACGCGUAGGUAAUCUGCCUUCGGGUGGGGAAUAACCAGUCGAAAGAUUGGCUAAUACCGCAUAAUGCAGCGGCACCUAAUGGUGAUUAGUUGUUAAAGCGGGGGAUCGUAAGACCUCGCGCCUGAAGAGGAGCCUGCGGCAGAUUAGCAGUUGGUGAGGUAAUGGCUCACCAAGGCUUCGAUCUGUAGCUGGUCUGAGAGGACGGCCAGCCACACUGGCACUGACACACGGGCCAGACUCCUACGGGAGCAGCAGUGGGAAUUUUGGGCAAUGGGCGAAAGCCUGACCCAGCAACGCCGCGU